Molecule: long non-coding RNA, 320 nt
Filed under: Anas platyrhynchos platyrhynchos (common mallard)
Lineage: Eukaryota; Metazoa; Chordata; Aves; Anseriformes; Anatidae
Description: lncRNA (ENSAPLG00000017577.1)
Source: RNAcentral
UACUUGAAACAACUGAAACUUGAAAGAAGAGGAAUGGAAUCCUGAAACUGAAUAAUGGAUGCUGAAAAUAAUUCAGGAAGGUCAUUCUGUCAUUUAAAGGUCAUCUUCAUCCACUUUUUCCAGCAAGCUGUCAUCUCUUUAGUAUUUACAACAGCUACAGGAGAUAUUUUACACUUAUUUGUCAAUUGCUCUUCUCAUAAGAGGGCAGGAUCAUUCAGGCUGGAAGGAACCUCAUGAUGCUGAAAAAUUCUACGGGCAGAGGCUGCAUAGCUCCUCUGGGCAGCCUGUACACUAAGGAAUAAAUGGCUUAUGAAGAUGCA